AGCUCUGAGGUGUGAUCACGUUAGAUUGCAAAUCUAAAGAAGUAGGCGAAGAGCCUACCGGGGCUU
This 66-nucleotide transfer RNA is filed under the name Laeops kitaharae. Its description in RNAcentral is "tRNA-Cys". The record is from RNAcentral. RNAcentral also lists the same sequence under 1 other name. Lineage: Eukaryota; Metazoa; Chordata; Actinopteri; Pleuronectiformes; Bothidae.